RNAcentral lists this ribosomal RNA (231 nucleotides) under uncultured bacterium. RNAcentral's name for it is "partial 16S ribosomal RNA". It matches the Rfam family "Bacterial small subunit ribosomal RNA", at positions 28 to 258 of the family's 1533-position model. The record is from RNAcentral.
GACGAACGCUGGCGGCGUGCUUAACACAUGCAAGUCGAGCGGUAAGGCCCUUUCGGGGGUACACGAGCGGCGAACGGGUGAGUAACACGUGGGUGACCCUGCCCUCAGCUCUGGGAUAAGCCCGGGAAACUGGGUCUAAUACCGGAUAGUGACUUCAUGACGCAUGUUGUGGAGUGGAAAGCCUUGUGCGGCUGAGGAUGGGCCCGCGGCCUAUCAGCUUGUUGGUGGGGU